This 121-nucleotide ribosomal RNA is filed under the name Phlegmacium callimorphum. Its description in RNAcentral is "Cortinarius callimorphus partial 28S ribosomal RNA". It matches the Rfam family "Eukaryotic large subunit ribosomal RNA", at positions 1 to 120 of the family's 3401-position model. Lineage: Eukaryota; Fungi; Basidiomycota; Agaricomycetes; Agaricales; Cortinariaceae. The record is from RNAcentral.
GUGGCCUCAAAUCAGGUAGGACUACCCGCUGAACUUAAGCAUAUCAAUAAGCGGAGGAAAAGAAACUAACAAGGAUUCCCCUAGUAACUGCGAGUGAAGCGGGAAAAGCUCAAAUUUAAAA